Molecule: long non-coding RNA, 1030 nt
Organism: Argentina anserina (silverweed cinquefoil)
Lineage: Eukaryota; Viridiplantae; Streptophyta; Magnoliopsida; Rosales; Rosaceae
Exons: 3
Source: RefSeq, a predicted model, not a curated record
AAGCCAUCCACUCUGAAAAUAAAACACGAUAAUCUUUGUCUCCACUCUCCAGCAAACCUUCAAGCGGGCAGGCAGUUCUGCAAAAUUAAGGGACUGGGAAAGUGACAAAAGACUGAAGAGGAACAAAAUUCUUUGUUUAUGGUGCAAAAGAGAAACUUCGGUUACUUGUAAAGAAGCUUACCACAUCCGGCCAGAUGUUGAUUACACAAGCUCCUAUACUGUUCAAGUAGCAUUCAGCUGGGCCAUUCUGCAGCACAUAUGCACAUGGAAAUACCAUGUCAACAAACCAUAAAAAGAAAAAGGGCCCAGAGAAUAAAGUACGAGGAAGGUGGGAAAUAUGAACCUGGCAAAUGAUGGUGUUGUUGGGUUCUUGGAUGUAGGCAUUUCCAUAUGGUACCAGCCGGAGGUUGAUAAUGUCCAUGAGAUCCAGCUCAAAUGCCUUUGGGAGUUCAUAUACGAAGAAUUCCUCACAGUAGGAGCUGAGGGUGUCGUAAUAUAUAGUCAGGUUAAGUUUCUGAGGAAAGCAAUUGUAGUCCUCAGGAGACGGAGCAUUGGUGCAGAGUGAGAUCAGAGCAGUUAGAACAGUGAUGGAGAAGAACUUACGAAAAGCCAUUAGUUGCUUAUCACAGCUUGCUUUUCACCAGUUUUCACAGUAGUACUAAAGUGUACGCUUAUAUAGCACUUGGCCAGAUAAGAGUUGAGCUGGGUAACAUACAAAGCACUAGAGUACAAACAGUACAAACAAAGGUGCUGCAUAUGAAGGUAAAAACGUGGUGGUAGCAUCAAUCACAGGCUGCUCUUGUUGGAGUAGGAACAGUAUCUAAUCGGUCUCACUUGAUCAAUUUCCUCCCAAUUACAAAACUCACCUUUAAGUGCAAAUGUGAGUCCAACCGCUGGGUGAGUUUCCUGUCUCAUCCUUUUGCUGCUCGCUUUGAGGUGCGGUAUGUAGAGAUCACUAGUGCAUGGGAUCUAUAGUGGUCAGAUUCGGAGGUUGAGAAUUUGGAGAAUAGAAGUCGAUCUAUUCUUGGGA